Molecule: non-coding RNA, 2210 nt
Filed under: Leucobacter komagatae
Lineage: Bacteria; Bacillati; Actinomycetota; Actinomycetes; Micrococcales; Microbacteriaceae
Description: Bacterial large subunit ribosomal RNA
Rfam family: Bacterial large subunit ribosomal RNA
Source: Rfam by way of RNAcentral
CUACUCAUGCCUGCAUUUAGGUGCAGCGUUGCGUGUUUCUUGCCGGAGGUAGAGCUACUGGAUGGCCGAUGGGCCCUAAAAGGUUACUGACGUCAGCUAAACUCCGAAUGCCGGUAAGUGAGAGCGCAGCAGUGAGACUGUGGGGGAUAAGCUUCAUAGUCGAGAGGGAAACAACCCAGAUCACCAUCUAAGGUCCCAAAGCGCGUGCUAAGUGGAAAAGGAUGUGGAGUUGCUGUGACAACCAGGAGGUUGGCUUAGAAGCAGCCACCCUUGAAAGAGUGCGUAAUAGCUCACUGGUCAAGUGAUUCCGCGCCGACAAUGUAACGGGGCUCAAGCACGCCACCGAAGUUGUGGCAUUCAUAUUACAGGUAGGCCUUCGUGGUCCAGCCGUAUGGAUGGGUAGGAGAGCGUCGUGUGGCGAGUGAAGCGGCGGUGUGAACCAGCCGUGGAUGCCACACGAGUGAGAAUGCAGGCAUGAGUAGCGAAAGACGGGUGAGAAACCCGUCCUCCGGAAGACCAAGGGUUCCAGGGUCAAGCUAAUCUUCCCUGGGUAAGUCGGGACCUAAGGCGAGGCCGACAGGCGUAGUCGAUGGACAACGGGUUGAUAUUCCCGUACCGAUUAGUAACCGUUCAAGACCUAACUAGUAGUGCUAAGCAAACCAAAGCUUCAUGGAUCCUUCGGGUGAAGUGGGGUGGCGGCUGCGAACCCGAACUGGGGUGGUGAGCGUGAGGUGUGACGCAGGAAGGUAGAUGAUCCCGGGCGAUGGUUGUCCCGGGCUAAGCAUGUAGCCCGAGUCGUAGGCAAAUCCGCGACUCGUAUAAGGGUGAGAUGCGAUGGGGACCCGUAUGGGGAAGUCAUUGAUCCUAUGCUGCCAAGAAAAGCAUCGACGUGAGGUUGCUAGUUGCCCGUACCCCAAACCGACACAGGUGGUCAGGUAGAGAAUACUAAGGAGCUCGAGAUAAUUAUGGUGAAGGAACUCGGCAAAAUGCCCCCGUAACUUCGGGAGAAGGGGGGCCAUCCACUUAUUAGGAUUUACUCCGAAAGGGUGUGGUGGCCGCAGAGACCAGUGGGGAACGACUGUUUACUAAAAACACAGGUCCGUGCUAACACGCAAGUGGACGUAUACGGACUGACGCCUGCCCGGUGCUGGAAGGUUAAGAGGAGCGGUUAGUGUCUUCGGACGCGAAGCUGUGAAUUUAAGCCCCAGUAAACGGCGGUGGUAACUAUAACCAUCCUAAGGUAGCGAAAUUCCUUGUCGGGUAAGUUCCGACCUGCACGAAUGGCGUAACGAUUCCCCAGCUGUCUCCACCAUAAACUCGGCGAAAUUGCAGUACGAGUAAAGAUGCUCGUUACGCGCAGAAGGACGGAAAGACCCCGUGACCUUUACUACAGCUUGGUAUUGGUGUUCGGUGUGGCUUGUGUAGGAUAGGUGGGAGACUGUGAAGCUGGCACGCUAGUGUUGGUGGAGUCAUUGUUGAAAUACCACUCUGGUCAUAUUGGAUAUCUAACGACGAACCCUGAUCGGGUUUUCGGACAGUGCCUGGUGGGUAGUUUAACUGGGGCGGUUGCCUCCUAAAAAGUAACGGAGGCGCCCAAAGGUUCCCUCAACCUGGUUGGUAAUCAGGUGGCGAGUGUAAGUGCACAAGGGAGCUUGACUGUGAGACUGACAGGUCGAGCAGGGACGAAAGUCGGGACUAGUGAUCCGGCAGUGGCUUGUGGAAGCGCUGUCGCUCAACGGAUAAAAGGUACCUCGGGGAUAACAGGCUGAUCUUGCCCAAGAGUCCAUAUCGACGGCAUGGUUUGGCACCUCGAUGUCGGCUCGUCGCAUCCUGGGGCUGGAGUCGGUCCCAAGGGUUGGGCUGUUCGCCCAUUAAAGCGGUACGCGAGCUGGGUUUAGAACGUCGUGAGACAGUUCGGUCCCUAUCCUCUGCGCGCGUUGGAAAUUUGAGAGGAUCUGACCCUAGUACGAGAGGACCGGGUUGGACGAACCUCUGGUGUGCCAGUUGUUCUGCCAAGGGCAUGGCUGGUUGGCUACGUUCGGGAUGGAUAACCGCUGAAAGCAUCUAAGCGGGAAGCCGGCCUCAAGAUGAGAUUUCCGUAGGGUUUAACCCUGUGAGGCUCCCAGUAGACUACUGGGUUGAUAGGCCAGAUGUGGAAGCACGGCAACGUGUGGAGCUGACUGGUACUAAUAAGCCGAUGACUUGAUUUU